AUUGAACGCUAGCGGGAUGCCUUACACAUGCAAGUCGAACGGAGUGGCGAACGGGUGAGUAAUGUAUCGGAACGUGCCCCGUAGCGGGGGAUAACUACGCGAAAGCGUAGCUAAUACCGCAUACUAUUUGAGCGGCCGAUAUCGGAUUAGCUAGUUGGUGGGGUAACGGCUAACACAGGCGACGAUCCGUAUCUGGUUUGAGAGGACGACCAGCCACAAUUGGACGGAGACACGGCCCAGACUCAUACUGGAGGCAGCAGUGGGGAAGUUUGUACAAUGGGGGAAACCCUGAUCCAGCCAUCCCGCGUGUGCGAUGAAGGCCUUCGGGUUGGAAAGCACUUUUGGCAGGAAAGCGGUACCUGCAGAAUAAGCACCGGCUAACUACGUGCCAGCAGCCGCGGUAAUAC
Molecule: ribosomal RNA, 407 nt
Filed under: uncultured bacterium
Lineage: Bacteria
Description: partial 16S ribosomal RNA
Rfam family: Bacterial small subunit ribosomal RNA
Source: RNAcentral